GAACGCUGGCGGCGUGCCUAAACAUGCAAGUGGAGCGACGAACCAGGCUUCGGCCUGGGGCAAAGCCGCGAACGGGUGAGUAACACGUGGGUAACCUGCCCCGAUGAUUGGGACAACCCGAGGAAACUCGGGCUAAUACCGAAUGUGCCCUCCAGCCAUAAGGCUGCUGGGGAAAGGAAGCUUCGGCCUCCGCAUCGGGAUGGGCCCGCGGCCCAUUAGCUUGUUGGUGAGGUAAUGGCUCACCAAGGCGACGAUGGGUAGCUGGUCUGAGAGGACGAUCAGCCACACUGGGACUGAGACACGGCCCAGACUCCUACGGGAGGCAGCAGUGGGGAAUCUUGCGCAAUGCGCGAAAGCGUGACGCAGCAACGCCGCGUGGGCGAAGAAGGCCUUCGGGUUGUAAAGCCCUUUCAGUUGGGACGAAGCUUCGCCGGUGAACAGCCGGCCGGAGUGACGGUACCUUCAGAAGAAGCCCCGGCUAACUACGUGCCAGCAGCCGCGGUAAUACGUANGGGGCAAGCGUUGUCCGGAAUCAUUGGGCGU
Molecule: ribosomal RNA, 543 nt
Filed under: uncultured bacterium
Lineage: Bacteria
Description: bacterial SSU rRNA
Rfam family: Bacterial small subunit ribosomal RNA
Source: RNAcentral